Molecule: ribosomal RNA, 466 nt
Filed under: uncultured bacterium
Lineage: Bacteria
Description: partial 16S ribosomal RNA
Rfam family: Bacterial small subunit ribosomal RNA
Source: RNAcentral
CCUACGGGUGGCAGCAGUGGGGAAUCUUCCGCAAUGGGCGCAAGCCUGACGGAGCAAUGCCGCGUGAACGAAGAAGGUCUUCGGAUUGUAAAGUUCUGUCCUUAUCGAAGAGAGAGUAGAGAGUGAAAAAUGAUAUACUAGGACGGUAGAUGAGGAGGAAGCCCCGGCUAACUACGUGCCAGCAGCUGUGGUAAUACGUAGGGGGUGAGCGUUGUCCGGAAACACUGGGCGUAUAGGGCGUGUAGGCGGGAAUAUAAGUGAGAUGGGAAAGGUGGGGGCUCAACCCCUAGAGUGCAAUUGAUACUGUAUAGCUUGAGUGUGAGAGAGGGAAGCGGAAUUCCUAGUGUAGCGGUGAAAUGCGUAGAUAUUAGGAGGAACACCGGUGGCGAAGGCGGCUUUCUGGCUCAUAACUGACGCUGAGGCGCGAAAGCGUGGGGAGCAAACAGGAUUAGAUACCCGAGUAGUC